Esox lucius (northern pike) is the source of this 744-nucleotide long non-coding RNA. Lineage: Eukaryota; Metazoa; Chordata; Actinopteri; Esociformes; Esocidae. The record is from Ensembl.
UACAAAAAUAAAUUAUGACUUGACCUGAUUUAAUAGUUUGCAUUUUUCUUUACAGGUUCCUCUUCUGACAGAAUAUUCUGGCCCGUCCAUCCCCAGAGCACCAACCAGGACCCCCAACAGGACCAAGGAUAUACCCAGGUUCAGUUACUUGAUGCUGGGUAUACAGGUCAGCUAUAUGAUUCUGCUGAUGUUUCUGCUGGGUCAUUAGAUGGGGUGUAUACUGAGAUUGAACUAUGUUCAAUGUCGGCAUAGAAGUUGGACAAAAAAGGUCCUUGAGGGGAACAUGGAUGUGAUAUUUUCACAUUCUCCAUGUAGGAUGCAGUCCUACACAGAAGUGUGAGCAGAGCUCUGCACGAACACACACACACACACACACACACACACCUUUGAUGAAGGAUUUUUAUCGCUAUUUACUUACAGAAAGUACAUAUUUCAUAUGUUGCCUUUUAAGUCACAUGAUUUAACCAUUUGUGAUUGGCAUUCCAAGUGAUUUUUGAGGUGCUGGCUUAUUUAGCUCCUAAUAGGCUUUUUGUUCAAAAGGCAUAAAAGUCCUGUCAUGUUUUAGGUCACAUGAGAAAUUGUACACAAAUAUUAACGGUUAGUACUUAUACCAUGAUUGACAUUAUCCGCCUCUAAAGCGACACUUUGCUUUGUAAUGUGGUUGUAAAUAUGUCGUAAUGUUUCAUAUUUGACUCAUUAAUAUGCUCUGUUAAGGUGGUUGAAUAAAAUAUCUUUAUAUAAGUG